RNAcentral lists this ribosomal RNA (570 nucleotides) under uncultured beta proteobacterium. RNAcentral's name for it is "bacterial SSU rRNA". It matches the Rfam family "Bacterial small subunit ribosomal RNA", at positions 356 to 919 of the family's 1533-position model. The record is from RNAcentral. Lineage: Bacteria; Pseudomonadati; Pseudomonadota; Betaproteobacteria.
GGGGAUUUUGGCACAAUGGGCGCAAGCCUGAUCCAGCAAUGCCGCGUGCAGGAUGAAAGCCUUCGGGUUGUAAACUGCUUUUGUACGGAGCGAAACGGCUUCCCUUAAUACGGGGAGCUAAUGACGGUACCGUAAGAAUAAGCACCGGCUAACUACGUGCCAGCAGCCGCGGUAAUACGUAGGGUGCGAGCGUUAAUCGGAAUUACUGGGCGUAAAGCGUGCGCAGGCGGUUAUAUAAGACAGAUGUGAAAUCCCCGGGCUCAACCUGGGACCUGCAUUUGUGACUGUAUAGCUAGAGUACGGUAGAGGGGGAUGGAAUUCCGCGUGUAGCAGUGAAAUGCGUAGAUAUGCGGAGGAACACCGAUGGCGAAGGCAAUCCCCUGGACCUGUACUGACGCUCAUGCACGAAAGCGUGGGGAGCAAACAGGAUUAGAUACCCUGGUAGUCCACGCCCUAAACGAUGUCAACUGGUUGUUGGGUCUUCACUGACUCAGUAACGAAGCUAACGCGUGAAGUUGACCGCCUGGGGAGUACGGCCGCAAGGUUGAAACUCAAUGAAUUUGGGACGGG